GAUCCUGGCUCAGGAUGAACGCUAGCUACAGGCUUAACACAUGCAAGUCGAGGGGAAACGACAUCGAGAGCUUGCUUUUGAUGGGCGUCGACCGGCGCACGGGUGAGUAACGCGUAUCCAACCUGCCCAUCACUUGGGAAUAACCUUGCGAAAGUAAGACUAAUGCCCAAUGAUAUCUCUAGAAGACAUCUGAAAGAGAUUAAAGAUUCAUCGGUGAUGGAUGGGGAUGCG
This 231-nucleotide ribosomal RNA is filed under the name uncultured bacterium. Its description in RNAcentral is "partial 16S ribosomal RNA". It matches the Rfam family "Bacterial small subunit ribosomal RNA", at positions 15 to 235 of the family's 1533-position model. The record is from RNAcentral.